UGGGGAAUAUUGCACAAUGGGCGCAAGCCUGAUGCAGCCAUGCCGCGUGUGUGAAGAAGGCCUUCGGGUUGUAAAGCACUUUCAGCGAGGAGGAAGGUGGUGAGCUUAAUACGCUCAUCAAUUGAUGUUACUCGCAGAAGAAGCACCGGCUAACUCCGUGCCAGCAGCCGCGGUAAUACGGAGGGUGCAAGCGUUAAUCGGAAUUACUGGGCGUAAAGCGCACGCAGGCGGUUUGUUAAGUCAGAUGUGAAAUCCCCGGGCUCAACCUGGGAACUGCAUUUGAAACUGGCAAGCUAGAGUCUCGUAGAGGGGGGUAGAAUUCCAGGUGUAGCGGUGAAAUGCGUAGAGAUCUGGAGGAAUACCGGUGGCGAAGGCGGCCCCCUGGACGAAGACUGACGCUCAGGUGCGAAAGCGUGGGGCAGCAAACAGGAUUAGAUACCCUGGUAGUCCACGCUGUAAACGAUGUCGAUUUGGAGGUUGUGCCCCUUGAGGCGUGGCUUCCGGAGCUAACGCGUUAAAUCGACCGCCUGGGGAGUACGGCCGCAAGGUUAAAACUUAAAUGAAUUG
This 567-nucleotide ribosomal RNA is filed under the name uncultured bacterium. Its description in RNAcentral is "partial 16S ribosomal RNA". It matches the Rfam family "Bacterial small subunit ribosomal RNA", at positions 355 to 912 of the family's 1533-position model. The record is from RNAcentral.